CAGACCUCUAAUCGGAAAAGACUACCCGCUGAGUUUAAGCAUAUCAAUAGCCGGAGGAA
RNAcentral lists this ribosomal RNA (59 nucleotides) under Hylocomium splendens. RNAcentral describes it as "partial 26S ribosomal RNA". The record is from RNAcentral. RNAcentral also lists the same sequence under 3 other names. Lineage: Eukaryota; Viridiplantae; Streptophyta; Bryopsida; Hypnales; Hylocomiaceae.